This 253-nucleotide ribosomal RNA is filed under the name uncultured bacterium. RNAcentral describes it as "partial 16S ribosomal RNA". It matches the Rfam family "Bacterial small subunit ribosomal RNA", at positions 524 to 776 of the family's 1533-position model. The record is from RNAcentral.
UACGGAGGGUGCAAGCGUUGCUCGGAAUUAUUGGGCGUAAAGAGUGGGUAGGUGGUCUCGUUUGUCUGGGGUGAAAUCCCUGAGCUUAACUCAGGAAGUGCCUUAGAAGCGGCGAGACUAGAGUCCUGGCGAGGAUCGUGGAAUUCCCGGUGUAGCGGUGAAAUGCGUAGAGAUCGGGAGGAACAUCAGAAGCGAAGGCGACGAUCUGGACAGGUACUGACACUAAACCACGAAAGCGUGGGGAGCAAACAGG